GCUUUUUUUGCUUGUUUUCCUCUGGUAUGGGCUGCCCAUGAGCUGUCAUCCAUUUGGAUCGUCCCACUGUGGGUUGUCCACAGGACGCAGACUGUUCAGAGUUGUCCCCACCCUGGUGUGAGCCAUCCACAGGUUGCAGUUUCUUGGAAUGUUUCUGCCCCAGUUUUAAUUUAUGAAGAUAUACCUAUCCUCAGUGUUCCUCAGACCUUCUCUGAAAAAUUGUGCUGGAACACAGAUAAGGUUUCCAAGAUGUUUUUUUUAACUGGGACCAUUGCUCUAGCAUCUAAUGAAGCUGAGCCAAAAUGUUGCAGUAAAAUGUAAGCACUUCUCACAGAAGAAAACAAUAGGAAAGGAAAUUUUAACCUGAAAAUUGAAGUUUUGAGGCUUCUCCUGACAAACUUGCUACCUGCAUGCCUAAACAAAGCCAUAGAGCUAUAGAGACAUGAGUUAACAUGACUAUGACAUGUUCUGUUCCCAGAGAGGAUUUACCCUUUUAUGGGUAGAGAUAAUGUAGAAUGCCUUAGGAACCAUAUGUAAAGAGUUGAUGCUUGUGAAAUUUGAAGAUAUAAUCAAUUUUUAGAGCUUCACAGAUUUUGUGUUCAUUUUAGUUUAAUACAUUUGUAUUGUUGCAAACAUGUAUGUCCAGUAGUCUAUAAUGUGCAGAUCUAAAUCCUCCUUAUUUAAUGUUGACACAUAAUGACCUUGAAGCUGAAGAUAAAUCAUAUGUCAAAUCUAAGAUGAAGAACUGCACUGUCCAUUUCAUAAACUGCCUUUACUGUAAAAGCUCUGUCAUUUCACUUCGUAGUUUUAUAGGCCUAUGUCAUCCAACUACAGCACUGUGAACUUGGGUGCAUUUUUAAAAAUGAUCACCCUCUGUAGUCAGUGGGGAGUAUGGGUAUUUCUCUUAGCUGUGAUUUUAAGAACACUAUUUCCAUAACAAGAGACAAACUGGAAGCUGCCAUUACACUUUUUUGUUCUUAGUUGGAUAAAGAUAAUAUAAAACAUUUUUAAGAAAAUUGAGAAAAUUGAACUAAUCACUGUUAUUCUAUUCUUCUAUUAAUAAUGAAUAUAAGUGUCUAAAAGCUUUGUAUUGGCUUGAUACUAAAUUCAUGAUCUGCCUACCCUGUAACUUGGGGUCCUGUCACCUUUAGUUCUUUCAGCUGAUUCACGAGUCUCCCAUCACAGGUUCCUGAUGUCUGCUCUGUAGAUGAAGUUCAUGGCCAGAGACACUGAGCCAUGAAAAGAGAGAUCAUCAUACAUUGUGGGGAAACAGCACCCAGUCAUUUUGUAUGAAAAGCACCAGAAUGUUUCACGCUACAAUUUUUGGACACCCUUAACAGGGAAGAAUGCCUUUAUUUCUUGGUUUGAUUUCUAGUGAGUUCAAAGUCAAUUUUUUUUCUGGUAUCUCAACAGACCAGAGCCAAUAGUAAAGUGAUUAAUUUUACUGUUGUUGCUCUGUCUCAGGAAAUCGAAAGUGAGAAGUGGGGACUGUAUCAGUAAAAAUAGAAAAAAAACCUCAUGUAUUGUGUCACCUAGUCUUUUCAGACACACCUUACAAGCACUGCUUGUAAUAAAGCACUGCAAGUCAGUUUUGCA
Long non-coding RNA from Numida meleagris (helmeted guineafowl), 1596 nucleotides. NCBI's taxonomy places the organism in Eukaryota, Metazoa, Chordata, Aves, Galliformes, Numididae. The record is from Ensembl.